Molecule: long non-coding RNA, 682 nt
Filed under: Nilaparvata lugens (brown planthopper)
Lineage: Eukaryota; Metazoa; Arthropoda; Insecta; Hemiptera; Delphacidae
Description: uncharacterized LOC120355244, transcript variant X1
Source: RNAcentral
CAUUUGCAUUUUGCAACAGAAACAGCUUCUUAUAGAGUAUUGUUUUACAGGCUAAUCUUUUUUUAUGUAAUGUAUUCAAAUGUAAUUAUAAUUAGGAUUGGGAUAAUACAAAAAUAUACUUUUUGCUUAGUGAUAUCUAUUACAUUGUGACAGAAUUUGGUUUCUCAAUAACUGUCAUCGUGAGUGCCAAACUGAUCAACUGCAUCCUAAUGGAACGUUCAAGAUGUGAUUCAGUAACUGAUACGGUAGUUGCAAUCAUUAUUUUUGACCAAAUUGAAUCCACAAAAUAAUUGUAGAAAUGGUUUCAGAUGAUUACGAACAAGCGCAGCUAUCUCUGGAGAGGUAAUGCACCUACUGAUAUCCCGUGAUAAGAACUUGGGAGAGAUUUAGUGAAAACCUGGAGAACGGCCACUUAGCUCACAAAUCUGAGCUGUUCACAUCAAGCUGAUAUUUGUGACAGCCAUUAUAGCUUUAAUCAUUUUCUCGAUUGAUCAAAGCACCACAGGCUGCAUCGUUCGUCACCUCAGCCUUCAAGCGCGUUAUGACUUACUCCAAUAAGCCAACCAAAUAUCCUUAAUAAGCAAUAGAAGUUCUUAUCGACUGUGUAUGACUCAUUAAUAUCCAUGUUUUGUAUAAAUUUAUGUGAUAGGCCUACUGAUAUUAAUGUUGAUAUACCGUAAUG